GAAAUACCGGAGUAGACCAUAAAUUGGUUCACUAUCGGAAUGAACGUAAUUUAAUACCUUCGAUGAGUAACAACUGGAGGGCAAGUCUGGUGCCAGCAGCCGCGGUAAUUCCAGCUCCAGUAGUGUAUAUCAAAAUUGUUGCGGUUAAAACGCUCGUAGUUGGAUUACAAAAGCUCUACGAUGGCCAAGUCAAAAGUGUUUGGUCGUUGUGGGGUUUUUUUAUCGCGAGAGCCGUAUGUGGGAUUAAAUUCUUGUGUGCGGUCACUUGCGAGAUGUGCCUUGAAUAAAGCACAGUGCUCAAAGCAGGCGUAAGCUCGAAUGUAAUAGCAUGGAACGAAUAUGUUGACCGUGUUGACUGUUGGUUGUUGACAUUGGUCUCGAUUAAAAGGGACAUUUGAGGGCGUUAGUACUUGGCGGCGAGGGGUGAAAUCCUUAGACCCGUCAAAGACUAACUAAUGCGAAAGCAUUCGCCAAGAGUGUUUUCAUUAAUCAAGAACGAAAGUUGGAGGUUCGAAGACGAUCAGAUACCGUCCUAGUUCCAUACAGUAAACUAUGCCAACAUGGGAUCA
This 569-nucleotide ribosomal RNA is filed under the name Kudoa dicentrarchi. Its description in RNAcentral is "SSU rRNA". It matches the Rfam family "Eukaryotic small subunit ribosomal RNA", at positions 474 to 1055 of the family's 1831-position model. Lineage: Eukaryota; Metazoa; Cnidaria; Myxozoa; Multivalvulida; Kudoidae. The record is from RNAcentral.